RNAcentral lists this transfer RNA (64 nucleotides) under Epitonium scalare. Its description in RNAcentral is "tRNA-Met". The record is from RNAcentral. Lineage: Eukaryota; Metazoa; Mollusca; Gastropoda; Epitoniidae.
AGUAAAAUAAGCUAAUUUAAGCUGUUGGGCUCAUACCCCAAAAAUAGACAUAGUCUUUUUACUA